GGAGGGGAGCUAGCGUUGUUCGGAAUUACUGGGCGUAAAGGGCGCGUAGGCGGCCGAGUAAGUCGCGUGUGAAAGGGCCGGGGGCUCAACCCCCGAGCACUGCACGUGAUACUGCUCGGCUAGAGAAAGGUAGAGGCGAGCGGAAUUCCCGGUGUAGCGGUGGAAUGCGUAGAUAUCGGGAAGAACACCUGUGGCGAAGGCGGCUCGCUGGGCCUUUUCUGACGCUGAAGCGCGAAAGCGUGGGGAGCAAACAGGAUUAGAUACCCUGGUAGUCCACGCCGUAAACGAUGGGUACUAGGUGUUGGGAGGCUUGGCCCUCUCAGUGUCGUCGCUAACGCAUUAAGUACCCCGCCUGGGGAGUACGGUCGCAAAGGCUG
Molecule: ribosomal RNA, 377 nt
Filed under: uncultured organism
Description: partial 16S ribosomal RNA
Rfam family: Bacterial small subunit ribosomal RNA
Source: RNAcentral